GAUGAACGCUGGCGGCGUGCCUAACACAUGCAAGUCGAGCGAGGGUUUGCUCAGUAUUGAGUAUUCUAAAACUAGAAUGUUCAAUUCUGAGCAAAACCAAGCGGCGGACGGGUGAGUAACGCGUGGGUAACCUGCCCUAUACACAUGGAUAACAUACUGAAAAGUUUACUAAUACAUGAUAAUAUAUAUUUGUGGCAUCGCAGAUAUAUCAAAGUGUUAGCGGUAUAGGAUGGACCCGCGUCUGAUUAGCUAGUUGGUGAGAUAACUGCCCACCAAGGCGACGAUCAGUAGCCGACCUGAGAGGGUGAUCGGCCACAUUGGAACUGAGACACGGUCCAAACUCCUACGGGAGGCAGCAGUGGGGAAUAUUGCACAAUGGGCGAAAGCCUGAUGCAGCAACGCCGCGUGAACGAUGAAGGUCUUCGGAUCGUAAAGUUCUGUUGCAGGGGAAGA
This 453-nucleotide ribosomal RNA is filed under the name Peptostreptococcus stomatis. Its description in RNAcentral is "bacterial SSU rRNA". It matches the Rfam family "Bacterial small subunit ribosomal RNA", at positions 28 to 448 of the family's 1533-position model. The record is from RNAcentral. Lineage: Bacteria; Bacillati; Bacillota; Clostridia; Peptostreptococcales; Peptostreptococcaceae.